This 111-nucleotide ribosomal RNA is filed under the name Dasypus novemcinctus (nine-banded armadillo). The record is from RNAcentral. Lineage: Eukaryota; Metazoa; Chordata; Mammalia; Cingulata; Dasypodidae.
GUCUGCAGCCCGACCGCCCUGAACCCGCCGAUCUUGUCUGAUCUCAGAAGCUAAGCGGGGUCGGGCCUCGUUAGCGCUUGGGUGGGAGACAGCUCCCGGGUGCUGUAGGCU